RNAcentral lists this long non-coding RNA (5619 nucleotides) under Canis lupus familiaris (dog). RNAcentral's name for it is "lncRNA (ENSCAFG00000054607.1)". The record is from RNAcentral. Lineage: Eukaryota; Metazoa; Chordata; Mammalia; Carnivora; Canidae.
AUGUUCUCUUCAACAGCUGGGCCGCCGCCCCCGACCCCCCCCCCCCCCCCCGGAGGAGCCUGCGCCCUCGCCGGGCCUCGGAGCGUCUGGGCCCCCGGCUCAGGAGGGGUCGGGAAGCGCCGGCCUCAGCAGCCUGCCGAGCCCGGGGCGCGCCCACGGUGGGGUGGGUCUGGACGGCGCACAGGCCGUCCGGGCGCCCCGGGCCGCAGGGCUCAGGCUGGGCGUCCUGCGCCUGCUGGGAGCUGCUGGUGGCGGUCCCUGCCCCCCCCCCCCGCCCGAGCUGGGGCUGCAGGCGGAGACUGGGCAGGCCCGGGCGGGGCUGGCGGGGCUGGCGGCGCCCCCCACGCGGAGCGACGGUGCCUGGCGGAGCCCUUCCCCGCGGCUCCGUGCCCGCCUCCGCGCAUGCGCGUCCCUUCCACCGACCCUCCCCGCUCCCGAGCGCCCGCAAGGCCCAAGCCCCGGCCCCCCCCGCCCCCCCCGCCCCCUGGCCCUGCCUGGGGCACGCCUGGCUCCCGGUCCCGGGGCGGCUUCUGGAAACGUCUCUCUGCGGCUCCUUCUGCCUGUGCUUCCCACCCUGGCCUCCGGCCCCCGCCAGCGGCCGCUCAGCGUCCAGACCCCGUCCAAACGAGCGCUGGGUGGGAAAAGACUUGUUUAGACCGUAGAGCACGGAAGUGCCGCCCGGGCGUGGAAGCUCGCAUCAGUGUGCCCCGGGACCAGGCGCAGAAUCACCCAGGGAAAGUGGUUUCGAACAAGACAUAUUCUUCUUGUCUCGUGUGAACAAUCUGGAAGUGGGCAGUUCUCCUGCUUUGUAAAGAUGAAGAAUCAGGGCCGUCUGGGUGGCUCCGUUACUGAGCAUCCAACUCUUGGUUUUGGCUCCAGUCAUUACCUUAGGGUUGUGAGAUGUGCCCUGUGUCCAGCUCCCUACUCAGCAGGGAGUCUGCUUGACAGUCUCUCUCCCUCUUUCUCUGCCCCUCCCCUCACUCCACCCCCCUGCUCUCACUCUCUCUCUAAAAAUAAGUGAAUGAAUAAAUGAAUAAAUAAAUAAAAUCCUUUAAAAAAAAAAAGAUGCAGACACAUUCCAAUGUUUCCACUGCAUCAUUUUGAACUUGUUGGAUUUCGUCUUCAGGCUGUUUGCUCCAUGGUGCCAAGAUGGCUGCCAUAGCUCCCAGCAUCACAGGCCCAGUCAUGUUCAAAGACAGGAAGGAAAGGGACUAGGAAGAGAGCUUUCUUCUUUCAAGUUGCUCUAUAAAUCAAGGAGGGGAAAAAAAAAACAAACCUCCCUCUGAGACUUCUCUCCAAGUCUUAUUAACCAUAAAUGGGUCAUCUGGCAAACCCCAGUUACAAAAGAAGCUCCCCUGGGGGCUGCCGGAGCCCACCACGGGUCACAGAGCUGCCUCCACCUUUUUGCUCCCCUGGGAGUGUUCACACUUCGCGGUGCUCCGGGUGCAUGGCCCAAGCGAGCCUGGGACCUUGCAGGCACGUGGGUCAGGCCGCAGAGGUGCCGGCAAACUCAGCAAUCGCAUCACCACAAGAGUAUCCUGUGAUCAGGGAAGCCACCGCUCUGCUCCACAUUUUCUUCUCCUGAACAAAAUGCCCUCCUGAGCUCUACCCCGGGGAUCCGCCCAUGAGCCAAAUCUAGCCUGUGACCUAUUUCUGUACAGCUGCGAGCUAAGGAUGGUUUUUACGUUUUUAAAUGGUUGGGGGGAAAAAGGCCCCAGAAGACUAUUUCAUGACGUGAAAAGGAUAUGAAAUUCAAAUUUCUGUGUCCGUAAGUAAGGAUUUAUUGGACCUCGCAACACCUAACCCCUCGCACAUUGUCUGUGGCUGCUUUUCACGGGAUGAACCGUUGUGACAGAGACCAUAUGGCCCUUCAGUGCCUAAAUUAUUUACCAUUACAGAAAAAGUUUGCAGAGCCUGCUCUGUCCUGUCCGUUCAGCUUUCUGGAGACUUCUGUUCCACCCCAUCUCCCAGAGGAAGGAACCUUUAUUGUGCUGCGGGUACGCGGGGCUUGGAGUUCACAAGAGGCAUAGGGGAGGCUCACUCUCGCUCCUAAGCCUCGGUACCAAAGAAACCUCCCUCGGUGCUGACAUUUCGGACAUCCGAGGGGACACGGGUCGCCUGGGCUUCUGCUACCCUUCGAAGGACGGCACAGGGCGGCGGACGUUCAGAGGCCGAGGCCGCCCCGAGGCCUUGGGCUGCCGUUUCUUCCGCAGAAGCCCCUGCCUGCGCCCUGGCCCAAGGGGCGCCUGUCUGGCUUCAUAAAGAAAAGCCCUGAUGCUCCCCUCUCCUGGGCCAGCCGUUGUUGGGAUUCUUGCUGCUGAGAGGAUUCAGGAAACUCACUGGGACCUUGAAGCAGGAUGUCUUUGGGGCCGCCACGGCAGCCUCCCACCAGCUUCUCCCCGGGAACCCCAAAUUGCCAGAAGAUGGGCUGCCAUUGGCCACAGUCUUAGUCGGCGUGGCCGCGAGGCAGGGUUCCCCCCGCUUCCAUCCCCAAUGCUGCCACCUGCCGCCGCCACCGGCUCUUAGGUCUGGCUGACCCAAGAGGCAGAGGGGGAGCUGUCAGCUGGGUCCCCGGGAGCGCCUCACCGCCUGCGGCUGGUGCUGGGUGCGAGGCCGGUGGGCUCACAUGGUGGAGGAGGCCGAAGGUCCGCGGGGUGCCCUGGCCGCAAGGAGCAACCCCAGCACAGAAGACAUUUAAUCAUCUCACGUGGCAGGACGCGUGGACCAGGUGCUCUGCAGUUGCCUCAGUGGCUUAGCAGCGUCAGAGAUUCCAGCCAGCCUUCCGUUUCCCUGUCCUCACAGUAGGGUGGAGGGUGGCCGUGGCGCCAGGCGUGACAGCCAUGGUCAGAGGCAGGAAGGCCGGGGCAGCAGGGGGCUCUCACUUGCCGGGCUCUUGCCUCUUGCUCGGCAGGGAAGGCUCCAGAUGCACGUCCUCCGACGUCUCCUUGGCUAGAGCCCCUGUGAACGGGCUUGCGUGGGCCGGCAGGCGGGUCGUGCUGCCCUGCGGGCUGCCUGCUUGGAUGCACGGAGGAGAAGGGACACGAGCGCGUCUUGGAGCGGCGACGGGAGGGCCCCUUCCAUUCCUUCCUGGCCGAGCCUCCCCGCUAGAAGGUGCGGUGGAGGAGCAGGGCCACGGAGUGGGCGGUGGCAAUGCGGCUCCGCCUUAGGGCCGGAUGCGCACCUCACAUCCCCACAGGGGCCGGGGAGGCCCCCGUGAGGCCACCCGGUGGGCCAGAAAGCUGGGAACCCCGAGUAACUCCUGGGGAGGCCAGCGUGGCAAGGCCACCCGCGGGCCUACAAACACUCAGAUUGCCGGGCGCUGGGCAGGCCUGAACUGCGGCAGGAAGGUUCCCCACCUCUCCUCCCCACCCUUCCUCCCCUUUGUGCAUCACCCAAGUAGGAAAUGCUGCGCACCCCCCUUCCCUGCCUCACCCCCCCCCCCCCACGUCUAGCUGGUGGAGGUGGCUAGUGUUGCCCACCUGCAAGGCUGCCGCUGGGCCAAGCAGCCCACCAGUUUCCAGAGCAGGCGCCUCCCCGCGCCCCUGCCAGUGUCCUCUCCUCCCGGCACCCCACCCACCCAUCCCCCGACACCUCCUCUGGUGGGCCCUCCUUGCAGGACCCAGCGGUUGGCGCCUGUAGGGCUUCGGGCCGCCCCGGGGUGGCCCCGGCGCUCUCAGGACGCAGCUCCAGGCACUGUUCUCUCUUCUCUGGUUUCUUAAAUAGUGCUUGUGUUAUGAAAAAUCAAACCCAGUGUCCAACGAAUGGUUUACGUUCCUCAAACUCUAAAAUAGUUUAACCAGGAGUACUUUUCUCCCAUCAAUUAUUUGAAGGAAGAGUAGCUUGAAUAAUAUCUCAGCUGGAAGGGAUUUCGCUGAAACUACAGCAACUUGACAGCCUCCACCCGCUCCGGGGAGCGCAUAAGAUGCGCCGCGGUGCCACGGGCUCCUGCGCUUUACAGGACACUGUUUAUGGUGAGGACACUGGUGCCUGGAGCUCCUUCCUUGGCCUGUCCCAGGGAGUGAUGAGGGGCCUCUGCUCUGCCCAGAGGGGACUGCUGGGGGUGACAUUUCAACCCGGCUUCUCUGGGACCGCUUGGCCACAGGUCUGUCUGGGUCUGUCUGCAACUGAUGCGUCAAGUGCAAAACAGCAAAACAUUAAGGAGAGCCCUACCGGGCUCUUGUUUUAAAAGCCUAUUAUUUUAAUUUCCAAAGCUUUUACAGGGAAUGGGCAGCAAAUAGAGCAACGGCAACGCACUGUCUGCCUUCUAAUUAUGACAAUUCAUGACUCAGAAUCUCAAACUGGGUAUUUCUUUGGCCACUCUUCCCAGCAUCCCCUCUGAAAGUGUCGGCCUGAGGAGGGGAUGCUGAUUGGGGGGAUGCUGAUGUGAUGCAUCGGAUUACAGACCUUGCUGGGGGCGGGUAGUAAUGGUGUCUACAGCAGGGCAGAGUGGGGGAAGAACUAAAACAUAUUUCAUUAAAAAGCAAGAGAAAUCCCAUCAACCCUCAUCCCUGCACACUCAUCGGACUGUGGUCUAUUUACUGAACAUCAUGAGUGUUUAUUUCGUUUUAUUGGGAAAAAAGAAAAGACCCCAACGGCAUUACCUCACACAAACACAUCUAAAAAGAAAAUCAAGUUUAUGUGUAUGAUGCUUGUCAACCUUAUCUCAAGGAGGCCCACUUCCUGGCCUGAUGGGAUCCUGACCCGUUUCUCGGAGCACCCAGGGCGGGCCAGCCCCCUCUCCCGGGGGUGCCGUGUUCCCCACCACCCUCCCUCUGUUGAAAAAAAGCUGUCAAAGAGAUGCUCUAUUUCGGGAGCCCGGAUCCCACCCCUCCCUGUUUCAGGUUUUCCUCAAAUACCAGCUGGACACUGUUCUCUAAAAGUGAAUUUGGUCGUUUCCGUUCUGGUGGCAAAGGCGAGGUGAAGAAGCCCGCCGUGUCACCUCCAGUUACCCUCCUGCUGAGUCUGCUCCAGCCUGGCCUCACUCGCGCCGCGCCCUGCCAGGCUCAGCGUGGUCCCCGGGGACAUCCACGCGCCCGCAUCCCUCCUGCAGGUUGACCCUCUGACCUCCCCUGGCCUGGCCUGGGCCCCGUCCACCUGCUCCUCCGGCCCGCUGCAGAGGCUCUUGGCCUUCUUUCUCUGUCUCCCCCCUCCCCGCCGGGCCUCGGUGGACACCCUGGCCCCCCGCCCCCCGGCUCGCUCGUCCUGCUUUCUCCUCUGAAGCACAGGCCUGUUCAUGCAGCUCCUCAGAUGCCCACUGGCUCCUCCCCCGCGGCCAGUCUGCUCUUGAAGGCUUCCCGAGGGGUCUCCGCCUAGCCCGUGACUCAGGCCCCGGUCACAUCCUCGGUGGCUGCGCUGUCCCUCACAACUACUGCCACUGCCUGUGGUCAGGCCCUUCGCUCUCCGUGUUCUCUCCUGCUCCAAGUCUCCCCACUGCCCUCCUGCCUCUGGGCCAGGGGUCUCCACACUUGUGUUGAUCGUGCGUCCCUAUUAGAAACAAUUGUAGCAGGCACUCCCGGGACACGUAUGUGAACUUACACACUGUAUGCACAAACCAUUUGUUAGCAAACUAUAAAACACUCACAAAAAUGGACUAUUUAUUUAUUUAUGAGAGACACAGAG